Molecule: ribosomal RNA, 292 nt
Filed under: uncultured bacterium
Lineage: Bacteria
Description: partial 16S ribosomal RNA
Rfam family: Archaeal small subunit ribosomal RNA
Source: RNAcentral
GUGCCAGCCGCCGCGGUAAUACCCGCAGCACAAGUGGUGGUCAUUAUUAUUGGGCCUAAAGCGUCCGUAGCUGGCCUGUUAGAUGCCUGGGUAAAUCGGUGCGCUCAACGCACCGAACUCCGGGUAGACCGGCAGGCUCGAGACCGGGAGAGGCAUGGGCUACUCGCGGGGUAGGGGUAAAAUCCUGUAAUCCUGCGGGGAGGACCAGUGGCGAAGGCGCCAUGCUAGAACGGCUCUGACAGUGAGGGACGAAGCCCUGGGGCGCAAACCGGAUUAGAUACCCCAGUAGUCC